AUAUACAGUAUAUUUCAUUGGAUCACCAGCCAAUCAGCAUUGUCUUGACAUCAUUUUUUUAGUCCCAUGGCUGAGGUAACAAGCUCAAAAACACCCGGCGGCAGAACUGAGCACCCAUGAGCAUCUUUACUUCCGGGGGGUCCCACAACAGCUGAACAUCUGUCAUAGACAUGGAUGGGAAUGCUAACAGGCAGGACGUAUCACUGUGUUCGAAAUGGCAGGCGACUCCGAGGAUACAAGCUUGUGCUUUUCUUACUGGCUUGUCUCAGGAAAUCGGCCUUAUCAGUCUUGCCCAAGCUGCAAUACAGCAGAAUAAUUUUACAGCUGGCUGAGAAAGCCUUGGCGACCCUGGAUUGUGUGCUGUGCAGGCAAAAUUUAACCUUGGUGUCCCUUAUCAAAUUAGAACUGCCUUUUGUUUACCACCAGCUGACAGAAAGCUAUAUUUGUGACGGGCCUUUUUCUCUGAGUGAGGCCAAGUGGCAGCAGAGACGCUGAUGGAUAAUUUAUGAUUUAUGUAUGUGUGCAAACGCACCGCUAUUUGUACAGUGCUGACAUGAAACCAGGCUCUAGAGACCAUGAGAAUAUGUUUGAUAAAUAAAGUAUGUUAUACUAAAGGUAUGAGCGCUAUAUGCUGGUGAUUUUUUGAUCACUGACAGAUCAGCACCAUUCUGAUAGUGUGCAGACG
Molecule: long non-coding RNA, 685 nt
Organism: Cyprinus carpio carpio
Lineage: Eukaryota; Metazoa; Chordata; Actinopteri; Cypriniformes; Cyprinidae
Source: Ensembl